RNAcentral lists this ribosomal RNA (140 nucleotides) under Ruminococcaceae bacterium YAD3003. RNAcentral's name for it is "23S rRNA. Bacterial LSU". It matches the Rfam family "Bacterial large subunit ribosomal RNA", at positions 2777 to 2925 of the family's 2925-position model. Lineage: Bacteria; Bacillati; Bacillota; Clostridia; Eubacteriales; Oscillospiraceae. The record is from RNAcentral.
GCAUCUAAGUGUGAAACCAACCCCGAGAUGAGAUUUCCCUCUUUUGAUAAGGUCACUGGAAGACUACCAGUUGAUAGGCCGGGCGUGUAAGUGGUGAGAGCCAUUCAGCUUACCGGUACUAAUGACCGAAGACUUGACCA